RNAcentral lists this long non-coding RNA (685 nucleotides) under Spirodela polyrhiza (greater duckweed). RNAcentral's name for it is "long non-coding RNA (SPOL_LNC000563)". The record is from RNAcentral. Lineage: Eukaryota; Viridiplantae; Streptophyta; Magnoliopsida; Alismatales; Araceae.
GCCGUUGGUGGCCAGGAUGUCGAUGAGGUCCGGGUCGUUGGGGACGACGACGGCGGCGCGCCGCCCGUCGAUGGCGAUGAGCUGGAGGGCGCCGCCGUCCUUGCUGAAGCGGACGCGCUCCACCUUCCCGCUCUUCACCGCGUUAAGGAACUCGCUGUAGCGCCACUGGUAGCCCUCUGGCAGGCCGGCGGCGGCCGGCGACGGCGACUUGGGGUUUGGGGCGGUGAGCAGGGACUGGGCGAAGGGGUCGGAGGAGGAAGGCGAGGGCCUUGCAGCUUCCACCACAGAAGCCGGCGGCGAAGCGACGGGCUGCUGCUGGGCAGGGAGAGAAUCGACGGCGCCGGCGGGGGAGGACGCGGCGGAGAAGAGGAUCGCCGCCACGGCAGCUUUCUGGGGAAAGAAGCGGAGAAGGUGAGCGCCACCGCUGGCGGGCUUCUUCUCCUCCGGGUCAGAAGGGAGCAGCAGCAUCGAUCGGACGGGCCUGUGGCACCGCCACCUCCCUCCGCCGCCGGCGAUGGCCGAGGAGGCGGCGCUUUUGGAGUUCACGCGGCGGAGGCGACCGCCGGAGACGGUGGAGGACAGAAUGGAGUAGCUGGUGGACGCCAUGAACGAUACCCCCCCUUCCCCUCUCGAGCUUCUCUCCCUUCAAGCGGUAAUUCGACGGGUCUCAGCAGAUCGAAGGGAG